This is a non-coding RNA of Eurypyga helias (sunbittern), 360 nucleotides long. Lineage: Eukaryota; Metazoa; Chordata; Aves; Eurypygiformes; Eurypygidae. The record is from the annotation of a RefSeq genome assembly.
AUGCUGACUCUUUUGCUUGCUCUUUUGCCUGGUGCUGGUGUCGGAAGCUUCAUUACACAGUGGCCAGAAGAAACCCUUAAGAGAGCUGGAGAGACUGUGGACAUCUCCUGCUCCCAGAAAUACUCCACACUUGCCUAUAUGUUCUGGUACCAACAGCCCCCAGGAAAUGGUCUGAAGUUAAUAGCCAGUUCUUCUACAUGGAUGCAGAACUCUUACGAAGAAGGUUACAGUGAGACCAAGUUUGAGAUACGCAGAGAUGAUAAUAAUCACUCUUUGAUGACGAUCAAGAAUGUGACAUCCAAGGAUGCUGCCAUGUAUUUCUGCGCUGCUAGUGAUCACACGGUUGAGCGAGGGGAUUGA